This is a non-coding RNA of Gossypium raimondii (Peruvian cotton), 85 nucleotides long. The record is from Rfam. NCBI's taxonomy places the organism in Eukaryota, Viridiplantae, Streptophyta, Magnoliopsida, Malvales, Malvaceae.
UGGCUUUAGGGAUGAAUUAGUCCCUAAUACCUAAUAGCCAUCUGCCUUAUUUGGUUGCUUAUGAUCAUUUUGGGAUGGAAAAUGC